GCCUUGAAAGCGCCGAGUUCUUAAGAAGCGGAGGACCCAGGUUUUAGGGGUGAAUUGCCGUCCGGCAAAGGGCACGACCACAGCCCGAACCCGUCAGCUAACUUCGUAGGCGUUGGGGGCUCAAGGC
This 127-nucleotide small RNA is filed under the name Sulfobacillus acidophilus. Its description in RNAcentral is "c-di-AMP sequence". It matches the Rfam family "c-di-AMP riboswitch aptamer (ydaO/yuaA leader)". Rfam says of the family: This family represents a conserved RNA structure found upstream of the ydaO and yuaA genes in Bacillus subtilis and related genes in other bacteria. The ydaO/yuaA element is thought to act as a genetic "off" switch for the ydaO and yuaA genes in its native state. It is believed that the element may be triggered during osmotic shock leading to activation of ydaO, a predicted amino acid transporter gene, and members of the yuaA-yubG operon which code for KtrA and KtrB K+ transporters. RNAcentral also lists the same sequence under 1 other name. Lineage: Bacteria; Bacillati; Bacillota; Clostridia; Eubacteriales; Clostridiales Family XVII. Incertae Sedis. The record is from RNAcentral.